Molecule: long non-coding RNA, 2632 nt
Organism: Eriocheir sinensis (Chinese mitten crab)
Lineage: Eukaryota; Metazoa; Arthropoda; Malacostraca; Decapoda; Varunidae
Exons: 3
Source: RefSeq, a predicted model, not a curated record
AGAGAGAGAGAGGGGCUAUAUCUGUGACAAAAAUGAAGAUUAGUGGCGAAUAUUACUUAAAGUAAUAACGAUAAUGAUAAAUAACAACGGUAACUUCAAAAUAAUGUCCAGGAGUAGAUAAUACGAGAAAUGUAUUUGAGGAAGAAACAAGAAAAGAGGCUAUUCAUGAGAAACCAGAUGAGAUUAGUCACGAAUACCGCUUAAUGUAAUACCAAUAAUAAUAAGUAACAAUAGUAACUUAGAAAUAAAGGCUAGGAGGAGAUAAUUAAUUAGAAAAAUGAAAAAGGAACCAAUUUUUGGGCUCGUGGUGAGUGAAGUGCGCGGGAAACAAUGUCAGUGAUCGUCUACAAGUAAUUUUUUCCUCCUUAUUUUACUGAUUAUCUCGCCUUCCACAUGGAUUACUUGACUGGGCUGUGGUCUACAAGGACUCUAGGAUACCAGGAUUACAUAGGAACUAUCAAAUCCGCGUGGUAAGUAGGAUUUAAGGUGUUAUUAGCGUUAAAUGUUGCAAGGCGGCGGUGAUUUACCAAGGCGGCGGGGGAUGGAAAUGUCGCCAUGUUAAUUUUAUUUCUUAUUUUACCGAAUAUCUCGCCUUACACGUGGAUUACCUUGCUGGGCGGUGGAUUAUUCGGACUCUAGGAUACCAGGAUUACAUAGAAGCCAUUAUUGCCUUGUGGUAAGCAGUAUUUAAGAAGUUAUUAAUGUUAGUGUUACAAGGCGGCGGGGAUUUAUCGAGGCUGCGGGGGGUGCAAAUGGCGACUCAAUUACUUAUAUAUUUUCCAUCUUAUUUUACAGAAUAUCUCGCCUUCCACGUGGAUUUCCCGACUGGGCGGUGGAUUACAAGCACUCUAGAUUACCAGGAUUACAUAUCAGUCAUUAAUACCGCGUGGUAAGCAGGAUUUAAGGGGUUAAUAUCGGUUUUAAGGAAAUAACGAAAGAAUGUGUAAGAUAAGUGAUCAAGAUAACAAGAAGGUCAGUGUUAAGAAAGACGGGAUAAGUGGAAAUAUAAAUGAAGGUCAGUGUUAAGAAAGUGGAAAUAAAUGAAGGUCAGUGUUAAGAAAGUGGAAAUAAAUGAAGGUCAGUGUUAAGAAAGUGGAAAUAAAUGAUAAGAAAAUGAGAAAAUAAAAAUGUUGUACUAAAUCGUGCAAAAAAUGGAUUUACUACUACUACUACUACUACUACUACUACUACUACUACUACUACUACUACUACUACCACCACCACCACCACCACCACCACUACUACUACUACUACUACUACUACUACUACUACUACUACUACUACUACCACCACCACCACCACCACCACUACUACUACUACUACUACUACUACUACUACUACUACUACCACCACCACCACCACCACCACCACUACUACUACUACUACUACUACUACUACUACUACUACUACUACCACCACCACUACUACUACUACUACUACUACUACUACUACUACUACUACUACUACUAUUACUACUACUACUACCACCACUACUACUACUACUACAACUACUACUACUACUACUUCUACUAAGUGUGAAUAAAUGUGAAUAUAGAAAAAAAGAUGAUUAAAAGAAAAAAUAAGUGAAAAUUUAUAAAAAAAAAAGAAAAAAAGAAAGUGAAAGAAAAUAUAGAAGUGAACGAAGGAUAAGAAAAUGAAAAAAAGAAAAUACAAGAAAAAAGAAAAUGAUAAAUAGAAGGAAAUAAAAGAAAAUGUGAUUAAAAUGAAGGGCAGUGUUAAUAGAAUGAAAUAAAUAAGAAAACAGAAAGAAAAUAAAGUGUUAGAAAAAAAAGAUGAUUAAAGAAAAUGUUAAAAAUGAAGGUCAGUGUUUAGAAAGUGGAAAUAAAUGAAGGUCAGUGUUAAGAAAGUGGAAAUAAAUGAAGGUGUGUUAAGAAAGUGGAAAUAAAUGAAGGUCAGUGUUAAGAAAGUGGAAAUAAAUGAAGGUCAGUGUUAAGAAAGUGGAAAUAAAUGAAGGUCAGUGUUAAGAAAGUGGAAAUAAAUGAAGGUGUGUUAAGAAAGUGGAAAUAAAUGAAGGUCAGUGUUAAGAAAGUGGAAAUAAAUGAAGGUGUGUUAAGAAAGUGGAAAUAAAUCAAGGUCAGUGUUAAGAAAGUGGAAAUAAAUGAAGGUCAGUGUUAAGAAAGUGGAAAUAAAUGAAGGUCAGUGUUAAGAAAGUGGAAAUAAAUGAAGGUGUGUUAAGAAAGUGGAAAUAAAUGAAGGUCAGUGUUAAGAAAGUGGAAAUAAAUGAAGGUCAGUGUUAAGAAAGUGGAAAUAAAUGAAGGUCAGUGUUAAGAAAGUGGAAAUAAAUGAAGGUGUGUUAAGAAAGUGGAAAUAAAUGAAGGUCAGUGUUAAGAAAGUGGAAAUAAAUCAAGGUCAGUGUUAAGAAAGUGGAAAUAAAUGAAGGUCAGUGUUAAGAAAGUGGAAAUAAAUGAUAAGAAAAUAGGAAAAUAAAAAUGUUAUACUAAGUAGUGCAAAAAAUGGAUGUACUACUACUACUACUACUACUACUACUACUACUACAUCGUAAGUACUGACAUAAAUCUUGUGUUGCUGUUGUUGUUGUACUUUAAUAAUUAUAAUUUGAUAUGCCAAAAAAAUAUGAUGGCGAAUAAAAUAUUAGAGAGAGAGAGAGAGA